Molecule: long non-coding RNA, 830 nt
Organism: Brienomyrus brachyistius
Lineage: Eukaryota; Metazoa; Chordata; Actinopteri; Osteoglossiformes; Mormyridae
Exons: 3
Source: RefSeq, a predicted model, not a curated record
UUCAUUAAGGACUACAGGCGAGGUAAGCGUUAUAGGAGCACACAAGCACGGACUACAGGCCAGGUAGGCGUUAUAGGAGCACACAAUCACGGACUACAGGCCAGGUAGGCGUUAUAGGAGCACACAAGCAUGGACUACAGGCCAGGUAGGCGUUAUAGGAGCACACAAGCAUGGACUACAGGCCAGGUAGGCGUUAUAGGAGCACACAAUCACGGACUACAGGCCAGGUAGGCGUUAUAGGAGCACACAAUCACGGACUACAGGCCAGGUAGGCGUUAUAGGAGCACACAAGCACGGACUACAGGCCAGGUAGACGUUAUAGGAGCACACAAUCACAGACUACAGGCCAGGUAGGCGUUAUAGGAGCACACAAGCACGGACUACAGGCCAGGUAGGCGUUAUAGGAGCACACAAGCAUGGACUACAGGCCAGGUAGGCAUUAUAGGAGUACACAAGCACGGACUACAGGCCAGGUAGGCGUUAUAGGAGCACACAAUCACGGACUACAGGCCAGGUAGGCGUUAUAGCAGCACACAAGCACAGACUACAGGCCAGGUAGGCGUUAUAGGAGCACACAAGCACGGACUACAGGCCAGGUAGGCGUUAUAGCAGCACACAAGCACAGACUACAGGCCAGGUAGGCGUUAUAGGAGCACACAAGCACGGACUACAGGCCAGGUAGGCGUUAUAGGAGCACACAAUCACAGACUACAAGGCUGCUACAUAGAUUUUACCCACAGGUCAUCAGAUCAAAAUCAGUACAGUAUAACACUGCAGGUCACUGCUGCUACUUUAAUUAUUACUGUUCACUAUUUUUUCACUAAAUACUG